This 388-nucleotide ribosomal RNA is filed under the name uncultured bacterium. RNAcentral's name for it is "bacterial SSU rRNA". It matches the Rfam family "Bacterial small subunit ribosomal RNA", at positions 28 to 417 of the family's 1533-position model. The record is from RNAcentral.
GACGAACGCUGGCGGCGUGCUUAACACAUGCAAGUCGAGCGGUAAGGCCCUUUCGGGGGUACACGAGCGGCGAACGGGUGAGUAACACGUGGGUGACCUGCCCUCAGCUCUGGGAUAAGCCUGGGAAACCGGGUCUAAUACUGGAUAUGACUCCAUGACGCAUGUUGGUGGGGUGGAAAGCCUUGUGCGGCUGAGGAUGGGCCCGCGGCCUAUCAGCUUGUUGGUGGGGUGAGGCCUACCAAGGCGACGACGGGUAGCCGGCCUGAGAGGGCGACCGGCCACACUGGGACUGAGACACGGCCCAGACUCCUACGUGAGGCAGCAGUGGGGAAUCUUGCGCAAUGGGCGAAAGCCUGACGCAGCGACGCCGCGUGAGGGAUGACGGCCU